GACAGAGGGUGCAAACGUUGCUCGGAAUCACUGGGCGUAAAGGGCGCGUAGGCGGGAAUGUAAGUCGGGCGUGAAAUCCCUAGGCUCAACCUAGGAACUGCACUCGAAACUGCGUUUCUUGAGUAUCGGAGAGGAAAGCGGAAUUCCUGGUGUAGAGGUGAAAUUCGUAGAUAUCAGGAGGAACACCAGUGGCGAAGGCGGCUUUCUGGACGGUAACUGACGCUGAG
Molecule: ribosomal RNA, 227 nt
Filed under: uncultured bacterium
Lineage: Bacteria
Description: partial 16S ribosomal RNA
Rfam family: Bacterial small subunit ribosomal RNA
Source: RNAcentral